This 465-nucleotide ribosomal RNA is filed under the name Vreelandella stevensii. RNAcentral's name for it is "partial 16S ribosomal RNA". It matches the Rfam family "Bacterial small subunit ribosomal RNA", at positions 338 to 795 of the family's 1533-position model. Lineage: Bacteria; Pseudomonadati; Pseudomonadota; Gammaproteobacteria; Oceanospirillales; Halomonadaceae. The record is from RNAcentral.
CCUACGGGCGGCAGCAGUGGGGAAUAUUGGACAAUGGGGGCAACCCUGAUCCAGCCAUGCCGCGUGUGUGAAGAAGGCCCUCGGGUUGUAAAGCACUUUCAGUGAGGAAGAACGCCUGGUGGUUAAUACCCAUCAGGAAAGACAUCACUCACAGAAGAAGCACCGGCUAACUCCGUGCCAGCAGCCGCGGUAAUACGGAGGGUGCGAGCGUUAAUCGGAAUUACUGGGCGUAAAGCGCGCGUAGGUGGCUUGAUAAGCCGGUUGUGAAAGCCCCGGGCUCAACCUGGGAACGGCAUCCGGAACUGUCAAGCUAGAGUGCAGGAGAGGAAGGUUGAAUUCCCGGUGUAGCGGUGAAAUGCGUAGAGAUCGGGAGGAAUACCAGUGGCGAAGGCGGCCUUCUGGACUGACACUGACACUGAGGUGCGAAAGCGUGGGUAGCAAACAGGAUUAGAUACCCGUGUAGUC